RNAcentral lists this ribosomal RNA (1787 nucleotides) under Durio zibethinus. RNAcentral's name for it is "SSU rRNA". It matches the Rfam family "Eukaryotic small subunit ribosomal RNA". The record is from RNAcentral. Lineage: Eukaryota; Viridiplantae; Streptophyta; Magnoliopsida; Malvales; Malvaceae.
CCUGCCAAUAGUCAUAUGCUUGUCUCAAAGAUUAAGCCAUGCAUGUGUAAGUAUGAACUAAUUCAGACUGUGAAACUACGAAUGGCUCAUUAAAUCAGUUAUAGUUUGUUUGAUGGUAUCUACUACUCGGAUAACCGUAGUAAUUCUAGAGCUAAUGCGUGCAACAAACACUGACUUCUAGAAGGGAUGCAUUUAUUAGAUAAAAGGUCGACACGGGCUAUGCCCGUUGCUCUGAUGAUUCAUGAUAACUCGACGGAUCACACGGCCUUUGUGCCGGUGACGCAUCAUUCAAAUUUUUGCCCUAUCAACUUUCGAUGGUAGGAUAGUGGCGUACUAUGGUGGUGACGAGUGACGAAGAAUUAGGGUUUGAUUCUGGAGAAGGAGCUGAGAAACGGCUUCCACAUCCAAGGAAGGCAGCAGGUGCACAAAUUACCCAAUCUUGACAUGGAGAGGUAGUGACAAUAAAUAACAAUACCGGGCUCUAUGAGUCUGGUAAUUGGAAUGAGUACAAUCUAAAUCCUUUAACGAGGAUCCAUUGGAGGGCAAGUCUGGUGCCAGCAGCCACGGUAAUUCCAGCUCCAAUAGCAUAUAUUUAAGUUGUUGCAGUUAAAAAGCAUGUAGUUAGAAAUAGGGUUGGGUCGUCCGAUCUCCCUCACGAUGAACACCGAUCUACUCGUCCCUACUGCCAGUGAUGCACUCCUGGACUUAAUUACCCGGGUUAUUCCUCUGACACUGUUACUUUGAAAAAAUUAGAGUGCUCAAAGCAAGCCUAUGCUUGUAUACAUUAGCAUGGGAUAACAUCAUAGGAUUUCGAUCUUAUUGUGUUGGCCUUCGAGAUCGAAGUAAUGAUUAACUGGGAUAGUCGGGGGCAUUCGUAUUUCAUAGUCAAAGGUGAAAUUCUUGGAUUUAUGAAAGAUGAACAACUGCGAAAGCAUUUGCCAAGGAUGGUUUCAUUAAUCAAGAACGAAAGUUGAAGGCUCGAAGAUGAUCAGAUACCGUCCUAGUCCCAACCAUAAACGAUGCCGACCAGGGAUCGACGGAUGUUGCUUUUAGGACUCUGCCGGCACCUUAUGAGAAAUCAAAGUCUUUGGGUUCCGGAGGGAGUAUGGUUACAAGGCUGAAACUUAAAGGAAUUGACGAAAGGGCACCACUAGGAAUGGAGCCUGCGGCUUAAUUUGACUCAACACGGGGAAACUUACCAGGUCCAGACAUAGUAAGGAUUGAUAGACUGAGAGCUCUUUCUUGAUUCUAUGGGUGGUGGUGCAUGGUCGUUCUUAGUUGGUGGAGCGAUUUGUCUAGUUAAUUACGUUAACGAACGAGACCUCAGCCUGCUAACUAGCUAUGCAGAGGUGAUCCUUCAUGGCUAACUUCUUAGAGGGACUAUGGCUACUUAGGCCAAGGAAGUUUGAGGCAAUAACAGGUCUGUGAUGCCCUUAGAUGUUUUAGGCCGCACGCGUGCUACACUGAUGUAUUCAACGAGUCUAUAGCCUUGGCCGACAGGCCCGGGUAAUCUUUGAAAUUUCAUUAUGAUGGGGAUAGAUCAUUGCAAUUGUUGGUCUUCAAAGAGGAAUUCCUAGUAAGCGCGAGUCAUUAGCUCACGUUGACUACGUCCCUGCCCUUUGUACACACCGCCCGUCGCUCCUACCGAUUGAAUGGUCUGGUGAAGUGUUCGGAUCGUGGCAACGUGGACAAUCUGCCACUCACGACGUCGCGAGAAGUCCACUGAACCUUAUCAUUUAGAGGAAGAAGAAGUCGUAACAAGGUUUUCAUAGGUGAACCUGUGGAAG